RNAcentral lists this ribosomal RNA (893 nucleotides) under uncultured bacterium. Its description in RNAcentral is "bacterial SSU rRNA". It matches the Rfam family "Bacterial small subunit ribosomal RNA", at positions 505 to 1398 of the family's 1533-position model. The record is from RNAcentral.
GUGUCAGCCGCCGCGGUAAUACGAAGGGACCUAGCGUAGUUCGGAAUUACUGGGCUUAAAGAGCACGUAGGUGGUUAAGAAAGUUGGUGGUGAAAUCCCAAGGCUUAACCUUGGAACUGCCACCAAAACUUUUUAACUAGAGUAUGAUUGAGGUAAGCGGAAUUUCUAGUGUAGAGGUGAAAUUCGUAGAUAUUAGAAAGAACACCAAUUGCGAAGGCAGCUUUCUGGAUCAUUACUGACACUGAGGUGCGAAAGCAUGGGUAGCGAAGAGGAUUAGAUACCCUCGUAGUCCAUGCCGUAAACGAUGUGUGCUAGACGUUGGGAAUUUAUUUUUCAGUGUCGCAGCAAAAGCGUUAAGCACACCGCCUGGGGAGUACGACCGCAAGGUUAAAACUCAAAUGAAUUGACGGGGACCCGCACAAGUAGUGGAGCAUGUGGUUUAAUUCGAAGAUACGCGCAGAACCUUACCAACACUUGACAUGUUCGUCGCAACUCUAAGAGAUUAGAGUUUUCGGUUCGGCCGGACGAAACACAGGUGCUGCAUGGCUGUCGUCAGCUCGUGUCGUGAGAUGUUGGGUUAAGUCCCGCAACGAGCGCAACCCUUACUUUUAGUUGCUACCAUUUAGUUGGGCACUCUAAAAGAACUGCCGGUGAUAAGCUGGAGGAAGGUGGGGAUGACGUCAAGUCCUCAUGGCCCUUAUGUGUUGGGCUACACACGUGCUACAAUGGUAUUUACAGUGGGAUGCAAAGAGGCAACUCCUAGCCAACCCUCAAAGAAUACCUCAGUUCGGAUUGUACUCUGCAACUCGAGUACAUGAAGCUGGAAUUACUAGUAAUCGCGGAUCAGCGCGCCGCGGUGAAUACGUUCCCGGGUCUUGCACACACUGCCCGUC